CCUUGCGCUAUCAGAUGAGCCUAGGUCGGAUUAGCUAGUUGGUGAGGUAAUGGCUCACCAAGGCGACGAUCCGUAACUGGUCUGAGAGGAUGAUCAGUCACACUGGAACUGAGACACGGUCCAGACUCCUACGGGAGGCAGCAGUGGGGAAUAUUGGACAAUGGGCGAAAGCCUGAUCCAGCCAUGCCGCGUGUGUGAAGAAGGUCUUCGGAUUGUAAAGCACUUUAAGUUGGGAGGAAGGGCAGUUACCUAAUACGUGAUUGUUUUGACGUUACCGACAGAAUAAGCACCGGCUAACUCUGUGCCAGCAGCCGCGGUAAUACAGAGGGUGCAAGCGUUAAUCGGAAUUACUGGGCGUAAAGCGCGCGUAGGUGGUUUGUUAAGUUGAAUGUGAAAUUGCAAGCCCCGGGCUCAACC
This 417-nucleotide ribosomal RNA is filed under the name Pseudomonas syringae pv. syringae. RNAcentral describes it as "bacterial SSU rRNA". It matches the Rfam family "Bacterial small subunit ribosomal RNA", at positions 211 to 614 of the family's 1533-position model. Lineage: Bacteria; Pseudomonadati; Pseudomonadota; Gammaproteobacteria; Pseudomonadales; Pseudomonadaceae. The record is from RNAcentral.